AGAGUUUGAUCAUGGCUCAGAUUGAACGCUGGCGGCAGGCCUAACACAUGCAAGUCGAACGGUAACAGGAAGCAGCUUGCUGCUUUGCUGACGAGUGGCGGACGGGUGAGUAAUGUCUGGGAAACUGCCUGAUGGAGGGGGAUAACUACUGGAAACGGUGGCUAAUACCGCAUAACGUCGCAAGACCAAAGAGGGGGACCUUCGGGCCUCUUGCCAUCAGAUGUGCCCAGAUGGGAUUAGCUUGUUGGUGAGGUAACGGCUCACCAAGGCGACGAUCCCUAGCUGGUCUGAGAGGAUGACCAGCCACACUGGAACUGAGACACGGUCCAGACUCCUACGGGAGGCAGCAGUGGGGAAUAUUGCACAAUGGGCGCAAGCCUGAUGCAGCCAUGCCGCGUGUAUGAAGAAGGCCUUCGGGUUGUAAAGUACUUUCAGCGGGGAGGAAGGUGUUGUGGUUAAUAACCGCAGCAAUUGACGUUACCCGCAGAAGAAGCACCGGCUAACUCCGUGCCAGCAGCCGCGGUAAUACGGAGGGUGCAAGCGUUAAUCGGAAUUACUGGGCGUAAAGCGCACGCAGGCGGUCUGUCAAGUCGGAUGUGAAAUCCCCGGGCUCAACCUGGGAACUGCAUUCGAAACUGGCAGGCUUGAGUCUUGUAGAGGGGGGUAGAAUUCCAGGUGUAGCGGUGAAAUGCGUAGAGAUCUGGAGGAAUACCGGUGGCGAAGGCGGCCCCCUGGACAAAGACUGACGCUCAGGUGCGAAAGCGUGGGGAGCAAACAGGAUUAGAUACCCUGGUAGUCCACGCCGUAAACGAUGUCUACUUGGAGGUUGUGCCCUUGAGGCGUGGCUUCCGGAGCUAACGCGUUAAGUAGACCGCCUGGGGAGUACGGCCGCAAGGUUAAAACUCAAAUGAAUUGACGGGGGCCCGCACAAGCGGUGGAGCAUGUGGUUUAAUUCGAUGCAACGCGAAGAACCUUACCUGGUCUUGACAUCCACAGAAGAAUCCAGAGAUGGAUUUGUGCCUUCGGGAACUGUGAGACAGGUGCUGCAUGGCUGUCGUCAGCUCGUGUUGUGAAAUGUUGGGUUAAGUCCCGCAACGAGCGCAACCCUUAUCCUUUGUUGCCAGCGGUUAGGCCGGGAACUCAAAGGAGACUGCCAGUGAUAAACUGGAGGAAGGUGGGGAUGACGUCAAGUCAUCAUGGCCCUUACGACCAGGGCUACACACGUGCUACAAUGGCGCAUACAAAGAGAAGCGACCUCGCGAGAGCAAGCGGACCUCAUAAAGUGCGUCGUAGUCCGGAUUGGAGUCUGCAACUCGACUCCAUGAAGUCGGAAUCGCUAGUAAUCGUGGAUCAGAAUGCCACGGUGAAUACGUUCCCGGGCCUUGUACACACCGCCCGUCACACCAUGGGAGUGGGUUGCAAAAGAAGUAGGUAGCUUAACCUUCGGGAGGGCGCUUACCACUUUGUGAUUCAUGACUGGGGUGAAGUCGUAACAAGGUAACCGUAGGGGAACCUGCGGUUGGAUCACCU
This 1530-nucleotide ribosomal RNA is filed under the name Salmonella sp. Its description in RNAcentral is "bacterial SSU rRNA". It matches the Rfam family "Bacterial small subunit ribosomal RNA". Lineage: Bacteria; Pseudomonadati; Pseudomonadota; Gammaproteobacteria; Enterobacterales; Enterobacteriaceae. The record is from RNAcentral. RNAcentral also lists the same sequence under 10 other names.